Molecule: ribosomal RNA, 561 nt
Filed under: Triticum aestivum (bread wheat)
Lineage: Eukaryota; Viridiplantae; Streptophyta; Magnoliopsida; Poales; Poaceae
Description: partial small subunit ribosomal RNA
Source: RNAcentral
AUGGCGGAAUCCGACCAAGUUAACGGGAUGUCCUCGGUCGACGAAUUCUGUAAGGCGCUUGGGGGCGACUUGCCGAUCCGCAGCGUGCUGGUUGCCAACAAUGGGAUGGCUGCCGUCAAGUUCAUGCGCAGCAUCCGCCCCUGGGCCUUGGAGACCUUUGGGACCGAGAAGGCCAUCCUUUUGGUGACCAUGGCGACCCCAGAGGACGAGGACCUCAGGGUCAAUGCCGAGCACAUAAGGAUCGCCGACCAGUUCCUGGAAGUCCCCGCUGGGACAAAUAAUAACAACUAUGCAAAUGUACAGCUCAUAGUUGAGCUCCUGGGACGCGAGGUUUAUAGCUCUCAGUUGCAACUGGGUGGCCCCAAAAUCAUGGCUGCAAAUGGAGUUGCCCAUCUCACAGUGUCAGAUGAUCUUGAAGGUGUUUCUGCUAUCUUGAAAUGGCUCAGCUAUGUACCUCAGUAUGUCGGCGGUCCUCUUCCUGUUCUGAAACCUCUUGAUCCACCGGAGAGACCUGUAACAUAUUUGCCGGAGAAUUUAUGUGAUGCCCGUGCAGCCAUCUGA